GGCCUCAUAACCCAGCUGCUGCACUGUCCAAUACAGUAGCCACUAACCACAUGUGGCUAUUUAAAUUGAAACUCAUUAAAAUUAAAAUUAAAAAUUCAGUUCCUCAGCAGCACUAGGCACACCUCAAGUGCUCAAUAGCCAGGUGUGGUUAGUGAUGACUGUGUUGGACAGUGCAGAUAUAGAACAUUUCAUCAUCCUAGAAAGUUAUCUUGGACACUGCUAGCCUAAAGUGGGCUUAGAGCUGGACAGACACAGGGGUGGAUCUGGGUUCCACCAGGAUUGGUUUAAUUAUAUGACCUCUGAGUGACUUCCCCUCAUUUAUGAACUGGAAAUCACAAUUUCCUCCCAUCAGAGACUUCUGUAUGGACUUUGGGAUAGACUGACUGGGAUUGGCUCCUGACUGCCACUUUCUAGUUGUGUGCCCUUGAGGCAAAUUACUUAAGCUCUUUGUACUCAGUUUCCUUAUUGGUAUAAUGAAAAUAAUGAUGGUAAUCUUAGGUUGAACCAUGUUGUUUCAUCAUUUUUGACCUUGAAAACAGCUGUUUUCUACAGUUCGAUUCAGUACUUCCUAGGAUUUUGGGGAGGAAUGAAUGUAGGGCCCCCAGAGCUGCAUCUGCACAGAGCACACACUCACGUGUGUGAGCAUCACUGUCUCCAUCAGCCGGGUCCCAGAGGGGCUGCUGCAAGGUAUUUUAGAGUCCCCACCUCACACCGUGAACAAAGGCAGGCAGGCCGCGCUGGGCCUCCCUGGGCUUAGCCUGUAAGGUCCCAUCCAAGGUUCCAGAUGUUCCUUCCUUUCCCGCCCGGCCCUGGGCUCUGCAUGCUUCCUCUGCCUGAACACAGAUUCACCAGGGACUCACCUCCUGCUCUGCCCUGGGGCUGGGCUCUGUUGGGGGUAGGCAGGGUCUUGGAAGGACCUCUUUGCCAUCUCCACAGUCUCCACCGCGGUCCUAGCCAUCAUCCUCUCCCAUCUAGACAGCUCUUACUUCCACUGCUGUCCUCUUCCCAUUCGUUCUCCACAGGGCUGCUGGAGUGAUCUUUUUAGCAUAAAAAUCAGACCAUGCCACCGCUGAUUCAAAUGUUCUAAUGGCUUACCCUGGGGCGACACACCUCUCUGCUCUCACCUUAUGCGUGAUCCUCCUUGCCUCCUGCCUCCACUGGCCUUCCUUUUCCUGAGCACCCACGGUCUUUCCUGCCUCAGACCCUAUGCUGUUGCAGUGCCUGGAAUGCCACCCCCAUGCCCUCUGCCUGGGUGGCUCCUUCCUAUUCUCCAACAGGCUUCCCUGAUCCCUGUGCCUAGAGUGGCAUCCCUUGCCCUGUUUAUUUCCUUCAUUUUCCUUAUCAUAAAUUGUGAGUCACUGCACUGUGUAUGUACUUGGGUAACAGAAUGUUUAAAUGUGACUCGUUCUGUCUCUGUGAGGCCCCUGAGUCCAAGGACUAACCAGCAGGGAAGGGCUCCUCCACAUUUCAAAGCAGGGCGCUGGUUGGCCUGUGCAGGACUUGCAAAGGAGGUGUAUGAACACCGGUUUUGUGGCUUUUAUGCUGUCCCCCAUCUUGAGGCUAUAAAGGGAUUGAAUUUGAGGAGCGAGAGAGAAUUUUCCUUUGGAGACAUUUGCAGAAAUACUGGGCACGUCCCUCCCAACACCAUGGGGCUCCUCCUUUGCUAGUUUAAUUCUAGGGAGAAAGGUCUUAGGAGGAGGGCUUAACUGUGUGUCCUGGAGUCAUGGCUGGGGUUUGACACCUGCCUGAAGAGCAGUGUCCUGAGAGCACGGAGAGAGGGGCGGAAUCUGGAAUCUGCACCGCCUCAACAGUAGGGCGAAGCUGCUAGUCUUCUGGAGGCUGCUUAAAAGGGACCUGCCCCAAGACAGGGUGGGGAGGGGUGAAGGAGUGGGCCCGAUGCUCCCAGGCAGAGAGGGUUAGAGCUGGGAGCCACUGGCCAGAGAAUUUUCCAGAUCACAGAGUUGGCAGCAGAAUCUCUCUCUGAAACCAGGAAAGCACCCAAGGGGAGAGAGAGAGAGAGAGCUUCCGGCCCCUUGAGGACUGAACUGUUCAGGGGAUGUAGACUCACCACCCCUUUUUCCCUCCUCCUUCAGCUUAACCCCCAAGGAGCAGAAACCCAAGCUGGGAAGGAGGAGCCCCAGAAAGAGGGAGAAGGAGACUGCACUCUCUUCUCCCGCCAGAGGCCUCAAGCAGUUCUGAGCUGAAGGAAUAGAGCAGCUUCCUUGUGAGCAUUCCCCUAAUAUGUCACCUGCACCUGAAUGCAGGGCUCGGAUUCGGCUUCUGGUGGACCUGGCUGAAUCAGUCAAUAUCAGCUGGAUGAAUGAAGAACUUUUACUGAGAGGCUUUCUGGGACUCUGGAAUGCAUGGCCCAAGGAAACAUUGGGCCACGUGGAAGAAAGUCCUUCUAGGGUUAGAUUAGAUGUCCUCUUUCAGGUGAUGUACAGGCUGAGGACUUUAGGAAUUGUGGGCUAUUGCUCCUACUUGUCAUGUACUUGGAGGGCUAGGAGGAUGGAAGGGUAAGUUUUAUCAUUGUUCACCUCAUUGGCUCAUCCGGGCUGGCCUAGAUGUGCUUGUCAUGAACAGGAAGCCUGUGAAGGGAAGUGUGUGUGUGUGUGUGUGUGUGUGUGUGUGUGUGUGUGUGUCUCACGUACCUGGUUCGGGAGUCCAGGAAGGCCUUGUUGACUUGGACCUUGGCCUGACUCACAGUAUCGGAGAUGGCAGAGGUUCUGGUAGUCUGCGCUUGGGGUUGGAGUGGGGAGCAGGAAGUAGGGUGUCAGACACCACUCCUUUGCGAUGUCUUCUGCUUUUGUCUCCCUCUUUCUCGGCCAUUACCCCCACCCCUCAAAUCUGGGUAGGCAGGAGAUCAAGAUUAGGAAAGUUUCAUAAGAGUCCUUAAGGGGAAAAAGCACAGAAUGGGAAGAAUACUCUUGGAUCUUCAACAAGAUGUCAAAAUUGCUCUUUGAGAUCUCACUAGAAUGCCCAGAGAUGGGAUGAAGAGGGAGUGUGGCCACUCAGGGUGGCUUGGGCUACUGGACUGUGGGGAUUUCUCUGGUUCCUGGUGAGAUGGUCUUGUGGACUAUCUCAAGUUCAUCAAAGAGGACCCACUGAUCACCAGGACCCUGACGUACAGAAGGGGAUGGCAUGAGAGUAAUGGUGGGAUUCCCUGUUCCCUCUUGUAUUGGGGUCUGGAGCAUGGAGGACAGGAUCUGUUUUCUCAACAAGGAGAGUGUAGUGGGUUAAAUAAUGGCCCUCCCAAAAUUCACAUCUGCAUGGAACCUCAGAAUGUGACCUUAUUUGGAAGUAGGGUCUUUGUAGAUGUUAUGAAUUAAAAUGAGGUCAUACUGCCUUAGCAUCGGCCCUAAAUCCAAUAAAUGGUGGUUUUAUGAGAAGAGGAGAGGACACCCAGUGAAAAAGGCCACGCAAAGACUGAGGCAGAGAUUGGAGUGUUGCAGCUACAAGCCAGGGAACACCAAGGAUACCAGGGCCACCAGAAGCUGGAAGAAGAAAGGAAGCAUUCUUCCCUAGAGCCUUCAGAGGGAGCACAGCCCUGCCAACACCUUGAUUUUGGACUUCUAUCCUCCCGUACUGUGAGAGAAUACAUUUCUGUUGUCUUAGGCCAUCCAGUUGGUGUGCUUUGUGACAGCAGCCCCAGAAAACCCGUAAAGGGAGACACUCACCUCUUGUGGUAGAUGCUGCAGCCUGAAGCAAGAUGAGGGAAGCCAGGAGGGCUGGGAGAUGGAGAAGGACCCUCAUCACUGAAACGAGAUGCAGGAUCACACUGUGAGCCUCUCUAGAGACCAAGUGGGAGGGUUUGAACCACAGAAAGCAGAGAAAGCCAAAGGAGCACCAGACACCCUAAUAUUGGAACAGGAAAGGAGAAACCACAUUAACGAAUGAAGCAUCUACCAUACACACAGGCCUGUGCUAGGUACUGGGAGAGAUGGAAAGAGGAGAAGACAUGGUGGAAGGGAAAGAACUCAGGCUUCAGGAUCUAAGGCCCUGAGUUAUCAUUCUGCAUUUGCUCCAAUAGCUCUGUGACCUUGGGCAGGUUACUUAACAUCUCUGGGGUCCUGGCUUGCUAUGGGAGGAGGUGGGACCAAGUGAUCCAGAAUGUUCAAUUCUGCCCUGACAGCCUGUGGUCGGGAGAUGCUGUACCUGUCUUGUCACAGGUGUGAGAAACGCUGUUACCAAGGCUGGAGCCUGCCUUUGAGUUCCCCUCCCUCCUUCCCUGCAGGAUGCAUUGCUCCCUGCAAGCCAGUUUCCUCUGGCCCAGCCCCAGGAGAGAAUGCCUGAGAGGCAGACACUCAGCGCCUCCCUUCGGAAACCUGGCAGGGGCUUCCCCUUCCCUCAAAGUGCCAACUUGAUGGCAAUACUGAAAGAAAGUUAUGACAAAGCUCAGAGCUCCCCUGAGCCCACAGCUGUGCCCCAGGCUGCCUGGAAAGAUUCCAGCUCAUGGAUUAACCUCUUUGCCAUGAGCUUUAACUCUGAAUGCAAAUCUUUAGACUGAAAUUUGUGAAGCUUUGUUUUCUGAUGAGGGUCUUCACUGGGCUUAGUGGAGCAGACCCCAUACAUCUUCUGAGGAGAUUCUGGCUCCAGCCCGGGGUGGCAGCCACAGCGUGCAGAUGGAAUGAUUGUGUGUUUAGACCAUGGUCCUGAGAGGCUCCUCAGCUUUCACAAGGGCGCCUGUGCUCUCCCUGCAGCACGGCGUUCACUGGUGGAAUCCAGAAGCACACUAAGGAGAGCAGCCUCAGGUUGCCCCCCAGCCAUGUCUCCCCAGGGCUCAGCUCCCAGAGAGAAAUCAUAGUUCUGGAGCUUUGCCUGACAGACUUCCCCGUAUGUCUUGCAGACCCUCUCCAAAUCAUCUCCCUUUGGAAUAGGCCAGACCAGGAGACCUCUGUAUAUGGAUCAGGUCAUUUCAGCCUCCUUCACCCCUGCCUGCCUCCAAUUUUUCCCUCUGCCCUUUCGUGGUCCCCCUAAUAAUUUGUAUCUUGUUGUACUUUUUGCCAGCUAACUCUAGAGAAGGGGCAAGGCAUGAAUAAAUACCUCUCUGGCCAAGAUUCUCUCUGUUACUUCCCCCCACCCCAAGAUGAGUUCUCAAACAGCUUGACCUCUCAGUGGGCUCUUGUCCUUAUAGUUGUAUGGCCCCAAGGAGGAAGAGAUUCUGUGACCUCCUAUCCCUCUGUCACCAUAUUUUGCAACUUCAGGGGACCCAUUGCAGGGUUCAUUGAGUUAGCAGAAAUCUGCCCUUCAGACAAACAGAGAUGAUGGUUUUGGAGGAAAAGGUAUCAUUGACUUUAAAAAACAAACUAUGGUAAAAAACAUGGCCAGGUGUGGUGGCUCAUGCCUGUAAUCCCAGAAUUUUGGGAGGCUGAGGCAGGCGGAUCACUUGAGGUCAGGGGUUGGAGACCAGCCUGGUCAAUGUGGUAAAACCCUGUCUCUACUAGAAAUACAAGAAUUAGCCAGGCGUGGUGGCAGACACCGGCAAUUCCAGCUACUCGGGAGACUGAGGCAGGAGAAUCCCUUGAACCUGGGAGGUGGAGGCUGCAGUGAGCCAAGAUUGCGCCACUGC
Long non-coding RNA from Homo sapiens (human), 5569 nucleotides. NCBI's taxonomy places the organism in Eukaryota, Metazoa, Chordata, Mammalia, Primates, Hominidae. The record is from Ensembl.